UACGGAGGGCGCAAGCGUUGUUCGGAAUCACUGGGCGUAAAGCGCGUGCAGGCGGCUUGGCAAGUCGGGUGUGAAAGCCCGGGGCCCAACCCCGGAACGGCAUCCGAAACUGCCUCGCUCGAGUCCCGGAGAGGGUGGCGGAAUUUCCGGUGUAGAGGUGAAAUUCGUAGAUAUCGGAAGGAACACCAGUGGCGAAGGCGGCUCACUGGUCCGGUACUGACGCUGAGGUGCGAAAGCGUGGGGAGCAAACAGG
RNAcentral lists this ribosomal RNA (253 nucleotides) under uncultured bacterium. RNAcentral's name for it is "partial 16S ribosomal RNA". It matches the Rfam family "Bacterial small subunit ribosomal RNA", at positions 524 to 776 of the family's 1533-position model. The record is from RNAcentral.